UGGGGAAUAUUGGACAAUGGGCGAAAGCCUGAUCCAGCCAUGCCGCGUGAGUGACGAAGGCCUUAGGGUUGUAAAACUCUUUCGUCGGGGACGAUAAUGACGGUACCCGAAGAAGAAGCUCCGGGUAACUUCGUGCCAGCAGCCGCGGUAAUACGAAGGGAGCUAGCGUUGUUCGGAAUCACUGGGCGUAAAGCGCACGUAGGCGGAUAGUUAAGUCAGGGGUGAAAUCCUGGGGCUCAACCCCAGAACUGCCUUUGAUACUGGCUGUCUCGAGGUCGAGAGAGGUUGGUGGAAUUCCCAGUGUAGAGGUGAAAUUCGUAGAUAUUGGGAAGAACACCAGUGGCGAAGGCGGCUAACUGGUCCGGUACUGACGCUGAGGUGCGAAAGCGUGGGGAGCAAACAGGAUUAGAUACC
RNAcentral lists this ribosomal RNA (414 nucleotides) under uncultured bacterium. Its description in RNAcentral is "bacterial SSU rRNA". It matches the Rfam family "Bacterial small subunit ribosomal RNA", at positions 355 to 786 of the family's 1533-position model. The record is from RNAcentral.